This 77-nucleotide transfer RNA is filed under the name Barbodes semifasciolatus (Chinese barb). RNAcentral describes it as "tRNA-Leu". It matches the Rfam family "tRNA". From Rfam's summary of the family: Transfer RNA (tRNA) molecules are approximately 80 nucleotides in length. Their secondary structure includes four short double-helical elements and three loops (D, anti-codon, and T loops). Further hydrogen bonds mediate the characteristic L-shaped molecular structure. tRNAs have two regions of fundamental functional importance: the anti-codon, which is responsible for specific mRNA codon recognition, and the 3' end, to which the tRNAs corresponding amino acid is attached (by aminoacyl-tRNA synthetases). tRNAs cope with the degeneracy of the genetic code in two manners: having more than one tRNA (with a specific anti-codon) for a particular amino acid; and 'wobble' base-pairing, i.e. permitting non-standard base-pairing at the 3rd anti-codon position. Lineage: Eukaryota; Metazoa; Chordata; Actinopteri; Cypriniformes; Cyprinidae. The record is from RNAcentral. RNAcentral also lists the same sequence under 1 other name.
ACUGGGGUGGCAGAGCAUGGUUAAUUGCGAAAGGCCUAAGCCCUUUUACACCAGAGGUUCAAAUCCUCUUCCCAGUU